RNAcentral lists this long non-coding RNA (342 nucleotides) under Homo sapiens (human). Its description in RNAcentral is "non-protein coding lnc-PHACTR1-3:1". Lineage: Eukaryota; Metazoa; Chordata; Mammalia; Primates; Hominidae. The record is from RNAcentral.
GGGGCAGGGGCAAACCUUUGCAAAUGAAACAUAUUUUAUAUGAAAAUAAACACUGUCACAUUUGGAACUGAAAACAAAUUUUGCAUUAAUUUUUAAAAGAAGACUUUUCCGACUAUGGGCCACAUCCCCAGAUACUCCCUCUAUCUUCCAAAGUAUGCAUCUUCUUUGCCCUGUCCUUAACUGCUAUUGCAGAAGGAAGUCUGAGAAGCUGUGUAUAGGGGAAAGUGCAAACCUGGAGCCUCUGCCGCUGGGUUUGACUCCAGGGGCUGCCAGCACGAGCUGUUUCAUGUCAGUUACUGUACUAUACCGUAUAUUAUGUUAUGUACAAUGUCAGUUACUGCU